RNAcentral lists this ribosomal RNA (451 nucleotides) under uncultured bacterium. RNAcentral's name for it is "SSU rRNA". It matches the Rfam family "Bacterial small subunit ribosomal RNA", at positions 26 to 518 of the family's 1533-position model. The record is from RNAcentral.
AGGAUGAACGCUGGCGGUCUGCUUAACACAUGCAAGUCGAACGGAGUAGAAAUACUUAGUGGCGGACGGGUGAGUAACGCGUGAGAAUCUACCUUCAGGACGGAGACAACAGUUGGAAACGACUGCUAACCCCCGAUGUACUGAAAAGGCAAAUAUUUAUAGCCUGAAGAAGAGCUCGCGUCCGAUUAGCUAGUUGGAGAGGUAAAAGCUCACCAAGGCGACGAUCGGUAGCUGGUCUGAGAGGACGAUCAGCCACACUGGGACUGGGACACGGCCCAGACUCCUACGGGAGGCAGCAGUGGGGAAUUUUCCGCAAUGGGCGAAAGCCUGACGGAGCAAGACCGCGUGGGGGAAGAAGGCUCUUGGGGUUGUAAACCCCCUUUUCUCGUGGGAAGAACGCAAUGACGGUACCAGAGGAAUCAGCAUCGGCUAACUCCGUGCCAGCAGCCGC